CCUUCGAUAGCUCAGUUGGUAGAGCGGUGGACUGUAGAGGCAACUCAAAGCGAUAGAAAUCCAUAGGUCACUGGUUCAAAUCCGGUUCGAAGGA
RNAcentral lists this transfer RNA (94 nucleotides) under Anopheles sinensis. RNAcentral describes it as "tRNA tRNA-Tyr". It matches the Rfam family "tRNA". From Rfam's summary of the family: Transfer RNA (tRNA) molecules are approximately 80 nucleotides in length. Their secondary structure includes four short double-helical elements and three loops (D, anti-codon, and T loops). The record is from Rfam by way of RNAcentral. Lineage: Eukaryota; Metazoa; Arthropoda; Insecta; Diptera; Culicidae.